GACGAACGCUGGCGGCGUGCCUAAUACAUGCAAGUAGAACGCUGAAGGAGGAGCUUGCUUCUCUGGAUGAGUUGCGAACGGGUGAGUAACGCGUAGGUAACCUGCCUGGUAGCGGGGGGUAACUAUUGGAAACGAUAGCUAAUACCGCAUAAGAGUAGAUGUUGCACGACAUUUGCUUAAAAGGUGCAAUUGCAUCACUACCAGAUGGACCUGCGUUGUAUUAGCUAGUUGGUGGGGUAACGGCUCACCAAGGCGACGAUACAUAGCCGACCUGAGAGGGUGAUCGGCCACACUGGGACUGAGACACGGCCCAGACUCCUACGGGAGGCAGCAGUAGGGAAUCUUCGGCAAUGGACGGAAGUCUGACCGAGCAACGCCGCGUGAGUGAAGAAGGUUUUCGGAUCGUAAAGCUCUGUUGUAAGAGAAGAACGAGUGUGAGAGUGGAAAGUUCACACUGUGACGGUAUCUUACCAGAAAGGGACGGCUAACUACGUG
This 495-nucleotide ribosomal RNA is filed under the name uncultured bacterium. RNAcentral describes it as "partial 16S ribosomal RNA". It matches the Rfam family "Bacterial small subunit ribosomal RNA", at positions 28 to 507 of the family's 1533-position model. The record is from RNAcentral.